AUAUAUUUGUGUUUUAAGUUUUAUGGAGGUAAAUUACUUUCCUUUUAGAUUCCUAUGUGUUUUCAACCAGCUAUUUGUGUUUUGUGUUUUUAAUAGUGGAACAUUAGAACAGAUUUAAGAUCUCCAAAUAUAAAAAGUUAUUGUGACAACUUAUAAAGUUCCCCCAAAUUUGUGUAUUAAGAAUUGUAGUUACAAAAUUAUAUCUAUAAAUGUUUCAGUUUGUAGAAAGAUAAUUUCUGUGUACAUGUAUGUUCUCUAGGAAGAUAUUGUAUCAAAUUGUUAGUUUCUUUCUAGAUAAAUAAGAUGAUAGCUUUUUAAUGUUAUCCAAUUUUUCUGUAAUAAGUUUACUUUUUUCAUAAGAACAAUUUUUUUAAGAUAAGGAAAACUUCCUCAUGAUAGAUAGUUAAGAGAAGCAGAAGAAUGUUGCUGAGAAAUGAAUAGCAGGAAGAAAUCAGAAACUGUAGGAACCGAGGGGCAUUUACUUCUGUUGCUGAGACACCAUAAGAGCUGCGAAUGACUCAGACUACUGAGGCUCAAGAACUGCUCCUGAGUUGCCAUGGGAUCUGCAUGCAAGGAGAUGAGCCCUGGCUGUAAUGCCAGGGAUGCUCUUUCUUGUCUGUUUUUACUUCUUCAUGUUACCUUCUCCCAUCGCAUGUUAACAUGUCUCUCUGAUCCUUAAAAACUGUACU
This 689-nucleotide long non-coding RNA is filed under the name Bos taurus (domestic cattle). RNAcentral's name for it is "long non-coding RNA NONBTAT000846". Lineage: Eukaryota; Metazoa; Chordata; Mammalia; Artiodactyla; Bovidae. The record is from RNAcentral.